GGGGUAUCACUUGGGUGCAAAAGGAUAUGAUUUUGUGGGUACAAGGGCUCUAAGAGUUAUUUCCUUAUAGGUUUUUUAAAGAAAGUUGAAUAACUUAAAUUAUUAAGAAAUCUAAUGCAAGUAGGACUUGUAUUAAGUGCUUAUUUGAUUUUGAAUAGGAUUCAAACCUUAUGCCUAUUUAAAGGAACCUUCUCUAAGGUCCUUAGGAAAUCAAACCAGCA
This 221-nucleotide long non-coding RNA is filed under the name Elaeis guineensis (African oil palm). RNAcentral describes it as "long non-coding RNA (EGUI_LNC081176)". Lineage: Eukaryota; Viridiplantae; Streptophyta; Magnoliopsida; Arecales; Arecaceae. The record is from RNAcentral.